UGGGAAGAAGCAAUAAGUGGAUUGCAUGAUGCAUUAAGAUAAUAUCGAUAUGAUCUAGUCUCAAUUAAGUUAGUGUUUUGAAAGGUUUUACCGUUUAUUUUACUAUUUUUUUAAUAUGUUGUGCUUGAAAAACGUUGUUUAUUACAUAUUAAAUUAAAAUAUUUAUUUUCAGACGAAAGAUAAAAUCUGUAAGCAAUUUCUGUCUGUAUUUACUUGUUCAAAUGCCAGUGAAAAGAACGAUAGAAAAGAAGAAGCAUUCAGUUGGCUUGCAAUUUUUUUAAAUAAUUUUAAAUGAUCUGAAUAGUUUUGUUGCUUUUAUUUAGUUGAAUGAUAAAAUUGUUUGUACAAAAGGUUGGCUCUUAAACUUUUAUGUUGAAGUUGUUAUUUCUUUGUUAAAUGUUUUCCGUCGUUAACAAAGCAAGUAAAAAAAUGCACACAAUAAAAAACAGAUUUAUAUUUAGAAAUGUUUGCAAAACUUUUCGUUUGGAUACAAAAGACCAGAGACUGUUUACCGUUUGGCUCCUGUCCCAAUCUAACCUAGUUAGAUUCAAAAAUAAAAGACCACGCUAGAAAUAUGAGAGGUUUAAAAGGAUCAGUUCUUUUUGAGUUAAUAGCUGAAGUUCAAGCAAAAGACUGUUAUGUUCACUCGUUCAAGCAAGAGACUGUUAUGUUCACUCGUUUUUUAGAAGCAAGAGACUCUUUUGUUCACUCGUUUUUUUACAACAAGAUAAAGACACAAAAGACGUCUUUUCGAUGUCGAAAAAAGAUGUCUUUUAGAUUUGCAUAGUCGACCAAAAAAAGACGUCUA
Molecule: non-coding RNA, 808 nt
Organism: Hydra vulgaris (swiftwater hydra)
Lineage: Eukaryota; Metazoa; Cnidaria; Hydrozoa; Anthoathecata; Hydridae
Source: RefSeq, a predicted model, not a curated record